RNAcentral lists this unclassified non-coding RNA (44 nucleotides) under synthetic construct. Its description in RNAcentral is "T-DNA from synthetic construct (PDB 7Z1M, chain T)". The record is from RNAcentral.
CAAAAUUUUCGGAAGGCAUGCUCUGUGGCUUUGCUAAGAGAUUC